GAUGAACGCUGGCGGCGUGCUUAACACAUGCAAGUCGAACGAUGAAGCCCGGCUUGCUGGGUGGAUUAGUGGCGAACGGGUGAGUAACACGUGAGUAACCUGCCCUUAACUCUGGGAUAAGCCUGGGAAACUGGGUCUAAUACCGGAUAGGAGCGCCUACCGCAUGGUGGGUGUUGGAAAGAUUUAUCGGUUUUGGAUGGACUCGCGGCCUAUCAGCUUGUUGGUGAGGUAAUGGCUCACCAAGGCGACGACGGGUAGCCGGCCUGAGAGGGUGACCGGCCACACUGGGACUGAGACACGGCCCAGACUCCUACGGGAGGCAGCAGUGGGGAAUAUUGCACAAUGGGCGAAAGCCUGAUGCAGCGACGCCGCGUGAGGGAUGACGGCCUUCGGGUUGUAAACCUCUUUCAGUAGGGAAGAAGCGAAAGUGACGGUACCUGCAGAAGAAGCACCGGCUAACUACGUG
RNAcentral lists this ribosomal RNA (466 nucleotides) under uncultured bacterium. Its description in RNAcentral is "partial 16S ribosomal RNA". It matches the Rfam family "Bacterial small subunit ribosomal RNA", at positions 28 to 507 of the family's 1533-position model. The record is from RNAcentral.